GAUGAACGCUGGCGGCGUGCCUAAUACAUGCAAGUCGAGCGAACAGAUAAGGAGCUUGCUCCUUUGACGUUAGCGGCGGACGGGUGAGUAACACGUGGGUAACCUACCUAUAAGACUGGGAUAACUUCGGGAAACCGGAGCUAAUACCGGAUAAUAUUUCGAACCGCAUGGUUCGAUAGUGAAGGAUGGUUUUGCUAUCACUUAUAGAUGGACCCGCGCCGUAUUAGCUAGUUGGUAAGGUAACGGCUUACCAAGGCGACGAUACGUAGCCGACCUGAGAGGGUGAUCGGCCACACUGGAACUGAGACACGGUCCAGACUCCUACGGGAGGCAGCAGUAGGGAAUCUUCCGCAAUGGGCGAAAGCCUGACGGAGCAACGCCGCGUGAGUGAUGAAGGUCUUCGGAUCGUAAAACUCUGUUAUUAGGGAAGAACAUACGUGUAAGUAACUGUGCACGUCUUGACGGUACCUAAUCAGAAAGCCACGGCUAACUACGUG
This 497-nucleotide ribosomal RNA is filed under the name uncultured bacterium. RNAcentral describes it as "partial 16S ribosomal RNA". It matches the Rfam family "Bacterial small subunit ribosomal RNA", at positions 28 to 507 of the family's 1533-position model. The record is from RNAcentral.